GACGAACGCUGGCGGCGUGCCUAAUACAUGCAAGUAGAACGCUGAAGAGAGGAGCUUGCUCUUCUUGGAUGAGUUGCGAACGGGUGAGUAACGCGUAGGUAACCUGCCUUGUAGCGGGGGAUAACUAUUGGAAACGAUAGCUAAUACCGCAUAACAAUGGAUGACACAUGUCAUUUAUUUGAAAGGGGCAAUUGCUCCACUACAAGAUGGACCUGCGUUGUAUUAGCUAGUAGGUGAGGUAAUGGCUCACCUAGGCGACGAUACAUAGCCGACCUGAGAGGGUGAUCGGCCACACUGGGACUGAGACACGGCCCAGACUCCUACGUGAGGCAGCAGUAAGGAAUCUUCGGCAAUGGGGGCAACCCUGACCGAGCAACGCCGCGUGAGUGAAGAAGGUUUUCGGAUCGUAAAGCUCUGUUGUAAGUCAAGAACGGGUGUGAGAGUGGAAAGUUCACACUGUGACGGUAGCUUACCAGAAAGGGACGGCUAACUACGUG
Molecule: ribosomal RNA, 497 nt
Filed under: uncultured bacterium
Lineage: Bacteria
Description: partial 16S ribosomal RNA
Rfam family: Bacterial small subunit ribosomal RNA
Source: RNAcentral